AGUGAACGCUGGCGGUAGGCCUAACACAUGCAAGUCGAACGGCAGCACAGGAGAGCUUGCUCUCUGGGUGGCGAGUGGCGGACGGGUGAGGAAUACAUCGGAAUCUACUCUGGCGUGGGGGAUAACGUAGGGAAACUUACGCUAAUACCGCAUACGACCUACGGGUGAAAGCAGGGGAUCUUCGGACCUUGCGCGAUUGAAUGAGCCGAUGUCGGAUGAGCUAGUUGGCGGGGUAAAGGCCCACCAAGGCGACGAUCCGUAGCUGGUCUGAGAGGAUGAUCAGCCACAAUGGAACUGAGACACGGUCCAGACUCCUACGGGAGGCAGCAGUGGGGAAUAUUGGACAAUGGGCGCAAGCCUGAUCCAGCCAUACCGCGUGGGUGAAGAAGGCCUUCGGGUUGUAAAGCCCUUUUGUUGGGAAAGAAAUCCAGCUGGCUAAUACCCGGUUGGGAUGACGGUACCCAAAGAAUAAGCACCGGCUAACUUCGUGCCAGCCGCCGCAGUAA
This 506-nucleotide ribosomal RNA is filed under the name uncultured bacterium. RNAcentral's name for it is "partial 16S ribosomal RNA". It matches the Rfam family "Bacterial small subunit ribosomal RNA", at positions 29 to 523 of the family's 1533-position model. The record is from RNAcentral.